RNAcentral lists this transfer RNA (73 nucleotides) under Flexiseps melanurus (Spotted skink). RNAcentral describes it as "tRNA-Ile". It matches the Rfam family "tRNA". Rfam says of the family: Transfer RNA (tRNA) molecules are approximately 80 nucleotides in length. Their secondary structure includes four short double-helical elements and three loops (D, anti-codon, and T loops). Further hydrogen bonds mediate the characteristic L-shaped molecular structure. tRNAs have two regions of fundamental functional importance: the anti-codon, which is responsible for specific mRNA codon recognition, and the 3' end, to which the tRNAs corresponding amino acid is attached (by aminoacyl-tRNA synthetases). tRNAs cope with the degeneracy of the genetic code in two manners: having more than one tRNA (with a specific anti-codon) for a particular amino acid; and 'wobble' base-pairing, i.e. permitting non-standard base-pairing at the 3rd anti-codon position. Lineage: Eukaryota; Metazoa; Chordata; Lepidosauria; Squamata; Scincidae. The record is from RNAcentral.
ACAGGAAAUGUGCCUGAAACUAAGGGCUACUUUGAUAGAGUACACCACAGAGGUUAAAAUCCCCUCAUUUCCU